GGCCGGGCGAGCCGCGCCAAAUUUAAAAGCGGCCAUAGCGUGAGCUUCCCUCAGACCACGCGGAGAGCGACAGCGGCAGCGGCGAAAAAGGUUAGUCAGACUAAUGAGAAACUUCAUGCUUUCAAGUCUGCACGGAAAAAAAGAAUCACUGAUUGGUGUUACCUCUAUCAAACUUAAUCACCUACUUUCUGGGCAAACACAGGAGACGUUUAGAAGCCGGUAUUGUGAGUUAAACAGCUUCUGAGUGAAGACAUAGAGGACAUUGCAUGUGGAAGAAAUGACUGAAGGUUAUCUAGUGAUAGAAGAAAAUUAAUUCAUUGGGAAACUGAGGAAGGGACUGGAGAAUUAUUGAAAGUAAAAUCUUGAAAGAUUUUUUUCAUCACUUUCCUCAGAAAUGGAUAUGUGACCUCAGUUAAAACUUUUCAUAAAUUUUUAAUCUAAAAGAAGACAUCCAUCUUGAAUACUAAAAUGUAGCAAAGAUAAACACCUGAAAUCAAAGUUCUACAACGGGUAUUGUCAGGCAACUGAAUUCUAAGUGGUGUAAAUGACAAAGACUAGAGUAAGACUAGAGUGGCUGGAAACAUAAGUUGCAUUUCUUCCAGCAAGGAUGAGGCAACUGAACAAUUUUUGCAUCAGCCAGUCACCUAGAAGCCCAGAGGAACUCUUCAAGCCAGGAGAGCAAAGGCUUACAGACCCAGUCAAGAAAUUAAAUGCUGCUACAGGAAAAAUAUUUCUUCAAAAAUUGAAAUUCAACUCCUCUGAAAGCAAUUCCUUUCCUCUGUCUUGGAGAUUUGGCCCAGAUGCAAUAAACAUUGCUGACAAUGAAGAAGGAACAUUGAAUAUUUUGCUGUCAAGUGCUACCUGGAUUUUUGAAAACAAGAACUUGAGGCAAAAUUGGAGCUAACUGUGGAAAUGAAAUAACAGAAAAAAAAAUCAGCUUAAAUUAAAUAAUGAGGCACAGUGAUAGGUUGGGUCUGCUUGGAGUUCUGUAAUGUGAAGAAGGAGAACGAGCAAGCAGUAUAUUGGGCAGCUUCUUCGCAUAGCUACUCCAAGGUGUAGAGGUAAUUCUUCAGUCAGUCUUCAGAUUUACAUGGAGACCAUUUUGCAGCUGCAUUUUUUGCUGCUUAGUCCUCCCUCCAAAAAAGAAUAAACGUGUGAUUUUUUUUUCAAAGAAAGGCAAACCCUUACAUAUAGUAAAUGAUUUUCAGCAGUCAAACCGGGAGUAUAGGAAGUAAGUGCUUUACCGUGUGUGAGCUGUAGAAAAAGGAGGCCAGAAGUUCUCAGAUUUUUUUGAGGGAGUUACCCUCUUUCAGCAUUUCUCUUUUCCUGCAGUCCUAAAUCAGAAAAAGAUUCAUUUUGUUUGAAGUAAAAGAAUGAGAACAGGCUAUAAUUUACAGUUGAGGUAUAAAUAUUUACCCUUCCAGCUCUGAGCCAAUUACACUCUUUUGACUCUUUUUUCAUUAGAAAUUGCAUCUUUCAUGUAAAAUUUGAUUGAAGUCAUCUCUCUUAAAAGAUGAGGGUGGGGAAAGAAGUUACAUAACAGAGAAAUGAAAGCAAUAUUUUUCUUUCAUUUCUAAAUGAAAUAUUUUCAGUUGACCCAAAAUACAAUUUUCUAGCUUUUUUACAUUCCUUCCUUCUUUUACAGAGUUGGUGUUAGUUGAACCAUAUCCCUCUCCUCAAUAAUUUAAAAUUGUGAUUUUGCCUCAAAACUGAAACACAUUGUGUUAUAACAGCCUUAAAAUAAAAGUUUGUUUUAUCUUUCUUA
Calidris pugnax (ruff) is the source of this 1765-nucleotide long non-coding RNA. RefSeq lists it as uncharacterized. Lineage: Eukaryota; Metazoa; Chordata; Aves; Charadriiformes; Scolopacidae. The transcript is spliced from 4 exons. The record is from RefSeq and is a predicted model, not a curated record.